Molecule: transfer RNA, 71 nt
Filed under: Coleoptera sp. 5 KM-2017
Lineage: Eukaryota; Metazoa; Arthropoda; Insecta; Coleoptera
Description: tRNA-Val
Source: RNAcentral
UAUAUGCUAUUUUAAUUUAUUAAAAAAUUUUAGUAUACUAUUAAUAGAUGUAAUACACUUACGGCGUAUAA